AAGGUAAAGCAAUUGCACGAAUCGAAGCAU
Molecule: non-coding RNA, 30 nt
Filed under: Mus musculus (house mouse)
Lineage: Eukaryota; Metazoa; Chordata; Mammalia; Rodentia; Muridae
Source: RNAcentral